Molecule: long non-coding RNA, 499 nt
Organism: Passer montanus (Eurasian tree sparrow)
Lineage: Eukaryota; Metazoa; Chordata; Aves; Passeriformes; Passeridae
Exons: 3
Source: RefSeq, a predicted model, not a curated record
UGUGACACAAACAUCAGUUUGAAAGCCUUAGUUUCCUGAUAUCAACAAAGUCCUGCCUCUGCUGGCAGGAAGUCACUUACCUUCAUGUGAUUUUACUUGUGUGCUGUACCAGUGACCCAGAUCACCUCAGAUAGAAGAGCAAAGCACUUGGCCACCUCCCUGUCAAGGAAACCUGAGUAGGGCUGAAUUUAUAAGUCCACCCACAAGAUGGAAAGCAAACUCUGCUAUGUCUAACUCCAAGGAGUCAGCACAGUAUUUCACUGCUCAUUGCAAUUACAAGAUACUGUGUUCCUCUGCAAAAGUGUUGGACUGACACCUUGAAAUAGGGCAGGUGUCAGGGCAGAUUUGGUCCCACAAUUUGGAAGAAGAUAUGUACAGUGGCUUGACAGUGUAUCAGCACAACCUCUGGUGAGGACACGGACACAAGAGUUUAGGAGAAACUUGCUGGCCAGGAAGAGCUGUGGGAAUUCACUACCAGGUCUGAUUAAAGCCCAGGGAG